GUGGGGAAUCUUAGACAAUGGGGGAAACCCUGAUCUAGCCAUGCCGCGUGAGCGAUGAAGGCCUUAGGGUUGUAAAGCUCUUUCAGCUGGGAAGAUAAUGACGGUACCAGCAGAAGAAGCACCGGCUAACUCCGUGCCAGCAGCCGCGGUAAUACGGAGGGGGCUAGCGUUGUUCGGAAUUACUGGGCGUAAAGCGCGCGUAGGCGGACCAGAAAGUUGGAGGUGAAAUCCCAGGGCUCAACCUUGGAACUGCCUUCAAAACUCCUGGUCUGGAGGUCGGGAGAGGUGAGUGGAAUUCCGAGUGUAGAGGUGAAAUUCGUAGAUAUUCGGAGGAACACCAGUGGCGAAGGCGGCUCACUGGCUCGAUACUGACGCUGAGGUGCGAAAGCGUGGGGAGCAAACAGGAUUAGAAACCCGUGUAGUCC
RNAcentral lists this ribosomal RNA (425 nucleotides) under uncultured bacterium. Its description in RNAcentral is "partial 16S ribosomal RNA". It matches the Rfam family "Bacterial small subunit ribosomal RNA", at positions 354 to 796 of the family's 1533-position model. The record is from RNAcentral.